GGCGAGAAGAAACCGCCGCCGCGCUGCGGAGGGGGAGCUGGCCGCUGCGGGCGGCCGAAGCCGAAAUCGAAAAACUGCGCCGAGGCCGGCGCAACAAUGCCGAACAGCAUGGCGCCCGCGACCGCGAGAACGGGUGGCCCGCGCUCGGUGAACACGCGCAGGAAAGACGUCGGUUUCGGCCUGUUCGGUGUCGACAUGGA
Molecule: unclassified non-coding RNA, 200 nt
Filed under: Hevea brasiliensis (rubber tree)
Lineage: Eukaryota; Viridiplantae; Streptophyta; Magnoliopsida; Malpighiales; Euphorbiaceae
Source: RNAcentral